Molecule: long non-coding RNA, 550 nt
Filed under: Homo sapiens (human)
Lineage: Eukaryota; Metazoa; Chordata; Mammalia; Primates; Hominidae
Description: non-protein coding lnc-TRIM65-1:1
Source: RNAcentral
UGUGACCAGCCUGCUGUCUGUGGUGUGCCCUCCUGGCCCGGCCUUGGCACAUGUUCGUUUUUGUGGUUGUUGCCUGGACAGGCAACUCUGCAGGGCUGCUUCUCUACGCAUCCCUUUGCCUGCCUGCCUGUGCCAGGGGUUGUCAAGGGCUUUUGGGUCAGAGUGGGCACCCCUUUCUCCAAGGCUCCCUGCAACAGCUGGCCUGUCCCUGGUGGGGCUGACAGCUUCCUUCUCACCCUGCCAGGCUGCCCAAGCGCCAGAGGUGACCUAUGAGGCAGAAGAGGGCUCCUUGUGGACGUUGCUACUCACUAGCUUGGAUGGGCACCUGCUGGAGCCAGAUGCUGAGUACCUCCACUGGCUGCUGUGAGUACUGGAGUACUGGGGGUAGGGGGUGCUGCCCAGGCGGGAAGAGGAGCUGGGAGCCUGGACUGAGCUGCUCCUGAGUUUCAUGGACUACCCAUGGGACCUUGAAUUCACCUGCCACCUCUGCCUCCUGAGGGUGUUAGGGGCCCUGGGAUCCACGUGUCUACUUGAAGACAGCUACAGGAGA